Molecule: ribosomal RNA, 397 nt
Filed under: uncultured bacterium
Lineage: Bacteria
Description: partial 16S ribosomal RNA
Rfam family: Bacterial small subunit ribosomal RNA
Source: RNAcentral
AUACGUAGGGGGCACGCGUUAUCCGGAAUUACUGGGUGUAAAGGGAGCGCAGACGGCUAAGCAAGUCUGAUGUGAAAGCCCGCGGCUCAACUGCGGGACUGCAUUGGAAACUGGUCAUCUGGAGUGCAGGAGGGGUAAGCGGAAUUCCUAGUGUAGCGGUGAAAUGCGUAGAUAUUAGGAGGAACACCGGUGGCGAAGGCGGCUUACUGGACUGUAACUGACGUUGAGGCUCGAAAGCGUGGGGAGCAAACAGGAUUAGAUACCCUGGUAGUCCACACUGUAAACGAUGAAUGCUAGGUGUAGGAGGUAUCGACCCCUUCUGUGCCGCAGUAAACACAGUAAGCAUUCCGCCUGGGGAGUACGGUCGCAAGAUUAAAACUCAAAUGAAUUGACGGGG